Molecule: long non-coding RNA, 741 nt
Filed under: Malus domestica (apple)
Lineage: Eukaryota; Viridiplantae; Streptophyta; Magnoliopsida; Rosales; Rosaceae
Description: long non-coding RNA (MDOM_LNC001196)
Source: RNAcentral
CCCAAGGGGAUGAGUCUUUUAAGACCCGUGAGUUUAACUUCACUACGAAGACAAAAGACAAGUAUAAUCACAAGCAUUACAUAUCGAAAUUUAUUGGAGCGUAUUUGGACAGUUUUCGGCAUUCAUAGGAUCAAACGAGUGGGCAUUUGGGACGCUUUGGAAUUUAAGCAAAAAAACACAUCUAUAUGCUACUAGACCACUAAGAAUGAGUACUCAAAAAAUCAAAGCUUACUAGGUGUCAAAAGUACUCAACUUUUUUCUUUUUGGAGUGUAUUUGGACUGUUUCGGCAUUCAUAGGAUCAAACGAGCGUCGUGUGACACAUUUCAGAACUUAUGCAAAUAAACACAUAUAAUAUGCUACUAGACUUUUGAGAAUGAGUACAAAGGAUGAAAAGCUUAUUAGGUGUCAAAAGUAUACAAUUUUUCUUUGUGGAGCAUAUUUGGAUUGUUUUCGACAUUCAUGAGAUCAAACGAGCAUGCGUUUGACAUAAUUUGAAAGUUAAACAAGUAAGCACAUCUAAUAUGCUACCAAACCACUAAGAAUAAGUACUCAAAAGAUCAAAAAUUUCAAGAGAGCAACAGACUGAUAUUCUUACUCAUGGAGUAUCUAGUAAAGUGUUUCAAGACUCACUUAUCAAGUUGGGCAUGCUCGUAUCUAUGCACCAACUUUAGGAGGAGUAUUGAUUUUCAUAUAAAUAUUCUAGGAGUCCUAUGUUUGGUAGGUUUAGGAUUUGUAAUUAA